GAACAUCACAUGGGGUGUCCUAUGAUAGGGCUGAGAUCAUACCCGGAAGUGAAUCACUUCGCACCUGAUCCAGGUAAUACUGGCGUAGGGAUUAAGGCAAGGCCAUUUU
RNAcentral lists this non-coding RNA (109 nucleotides) under Allomuricauda sp. RNAcentral's name for it is "Muricauda sp. TPP sequence". It matches the Rfam family "TPP riboswitch aptamer (THI element)". Rfam says of the family: Vitamin B(1) in its active form thiamin pyrophosphate (TPP) is an essential coenzyme that is synthesised by coupling of pyrimidine and thiazole moieties in bacteria. The previously detected thiamin-regulatory element, thi box was extended, resulting in a new, highly conserved RNA secondary structure, the THI element, which is widely distributed in eubacteria and also occurs in some archaea. Lineage: Bacteria; Pseudomonadati; Bacteroidota; Flavobacteriia; Flavobacteriales; Flavobacteriaceae. The record is from RNAcentral.